GACGAACGCUGGCGGCGUGCUUAACACAUGCAGGUCGAGCGGGGAACUUCGGUUCCCAGCGGCGGACGGGUGAGUAACACGUGGGUCACCUGCCUCAUAGUGGGGAAUAGCCUUCCGAAAGGAAGAUUAAUACCGCAUAAUACUCGGAAAUCACAUGAUUUCUGAGCCAGAGGAUCUAUUCGCUAUGAGAUGGACCCGCGGCGCAUUAGCUUGUUGGUGAGGUAACGGCUCACCAAGGCUUCGAUGCGUAGCCGACCUGAGAGGGUGAUCGGCCACAUUGGAACUGAGACACGGUACAGACUCCUACGGGAGGCAGCAGUGGGGAAUAUUGCACAAUGGGGGAAACCCUGAUGCAGCAACGCCGCGUGAGUGAUGAAGGUCUUCGGAUCGUAGAACUCUGUCUUAUGGGACGAUAAUGACGGUACCAUAGGAGGAAGCCACGGCUAACUACGUGCCAGCCGCCGCGGUAA
RNAcentral lists this ribosomal RNA (470 nucleotides) under uncultured bacterium. Its description in RNAcentral is "partial 16S ribosomal RNA". It matches the Rfam family "Bacterial small subunit ribosomal RNA", at positions 28 to 523 of the family's 1533-position model. The record is from RNAcentral.